This 254-nucleotide ribosomal RNA is filed under the name uncultured bacterium. Its description in RNAcentral is "partial 16S ribosomal RNA". It matches the Rfam family "Bacterial small subunit ribosomal RNA", at positions 526 to 779 of the family's 1533-position model. The record is from RNAcentral.
CGGAGGAUGCAAGCGUUAUCCGGAAUGAUUGGGCGUAAAGCGUCCGUAGGUGGUUUUGUAAGUCUGUGGUUAAAGCGUGUAGCUCAACUACAUAACGGCCAUGGAAACUACAAGACUUGAGUGAAGUAGGGGUAGAGGGAAUUCCCAGUGUAGCGGUGAAAUGCGUAGAGAUUGGGGAAGAACACCGGUGGCGAAAGCGCUCUACUGGACUUAUACUGACACUGAGGACGAAAGCUAGGGGAGCGAAAGGGAUU